This 301-nucleotide ribosomal RNA is filed under the name uncultured bacterium. Its description in RNAcentral is "partial 16S ribosomal RNA". It matches the Rfam family "Bacterial small subunit ribosomal RNA", at positions 509 to 809 of the family's 1533-position model. The record is from RNAcentral.
CAGUAGCCGCGGUAAUACGAAGGGUGCAAGCGUUAAUCGGAAUUACUGGGCGUAAAGCGCGCGUAGGUGGUUCAUUAAGUUGGAUGUGAAAGCCCUGGGCUCAACCUGGGAACUGCAUCCAAAACUGGUGAGCUAGAGUACGGUAGAGGGUAGUGGAAUUUCCUGUGUAGCGGUGAAAUGCGUAGAUAUAGGAAGGAACACCAGUGGCGAAGGCGACUACCUGGACUGAUACUGACACUGAGGUGCGAAAGCGUGGGGAGCAAACAGGAUUAGAUACCCCCGUAGUCCCUGUCUCUUAUAA